This 253-nucleotide ribosomal RNA is filed under the name uncultured bacterium. RNAcentral's name for it is "partial 16S ribosomal RNA". It matches the Rfam family "Bacterial small subunit ribosomal RNA", at positions 524 to 776 of the family's 1533-position model. The record is from RNAcentral.
UACGGGGGGGGCAAGCGUUGUUCGGAAUUACUGGGCGUAAAGGGUGCGUAGGCGGCGCGGUAAGUCGGGUGUGAAAUCUCGGAGCUUAACUCCGAAACUGCAUUCGAUACUGUCGUGCUUGAGGACUGGAGAGGAGACUGGAAUUUACGGUGUAGCGGUGAAAUGCGUAGAUAUCGUAAGGAAGACCAGUGGCGAAGGCGGGUCUCUGGACAGUUCCUGACGCUGAGGCACGAAGGCCAGGGGAGCAAACGGG